RNAcentral lists this ribosomal RNA (437 nucleotides) under uncultured bacterium. RNAcentral's name for it is "bacterial SSU rRNA". It matches the Rfam family "Bacterial small subunit ribosomal RNA", at positions 8 to 429 of the family's 1533-position model. The record is from RNAcentral.
AGAGUUUGAUCCUGGCUCAGGACGAACGCUGGCGGCGUGCCUAAUACAUGCAAGUCGAGCGGGAUUAUAUCAGAAGCUUGCUUCUGAUAUAAUCUAGCGGCGGACGGGUGAGUAACACGUAGGCAACCUGCCCACAAGGCUGGGAUAACUACCGGAAACGGUAGCUAAUACCGGAUACAUCGUUUCCCUGCAUGGGGAGAUGAGGAAAGGCGGAGUAAUCUGUCACUUGUGGAUGGGCCUGCGGCGCAUUAGCUAGUUGGUGGGGUAAUGGCCUACCAAGGCGACGAUGCGUAGCCGACCUGAGAGGGUGAUCGGCCACACUGGGACUGAGACACGGCCCAGACUCCUACGGGAGGCAGCAGUAGGGAAUCUUCCGCAAUGGGCGAAAGCCUGACGGAGCAACGCCGCGUGAGUGAUGAAGGUUUUCGGAUCGUAAA